RNAcentral lists this ribosomal RNA (227 nucleotides) under uncultured bacterium. RNAcentral's name for it is "partial 16S ribosomal RNA". It matches the Rfam family "Bacterial small subunit ribosomal RNA", at positions 1276 to 1500 of the family's 1533-position model. The record is from RNAcentral.
CAAAAACUUGUCUCAGUUCGGAUUGUAGGCUGAAACUCGCCUACAUGAAGCUGGAGUUGCUAGUAAUCGCGAAUCAGCAUGUCGCGGUGAAUACGUUCCCGGGCCUUGUACACACCGCCCGUCACACCAUGAGAGUUGGCAAUACCCAACGUACGUGAUCUAACCCGCAAGGGAGGAAGCGUCCUAAGGUAGGGUCAGCGAUUGGGGUGAAGUCGUAACAAGGUAUC